Molecule: ribosomal RNA, 476 nt
Filed under: uncultured bacterium
Lineage: Bacteria
Description: partial 16S ribosomal RNA
Rfam family: Bacterial small subunit ribosomal RNA
Source: RNAcentral
GACGAACGCUGGCGGCGUGCUUAACACAUGCAAGUCGAGCGGUAAGGCCCUGCACUUGUGGGGUGCUCAAGUGGCGAGAGCGUGAGUGUCACGUGAGUGGCCUGCGCUUUUGUUUGGGGUACCUUCAGGGAACAGGAACGCAUAUAGGACAUAAGCUCCUUAUACACGGGGUGUGUGUGAGAAAUAUGCAGUUUCGUGGGUUACGGGUGGUCUCGCGGCGUAUUAGCUAGGUGGUGGGGUAGCAGCUCAUUAAGGCGUUGACGGGUAGCCGGCCUGAGAGGGUGACCGGCCACAUUGGGACUGAGAAACGGGCCAGACUGCUACGGGAGGCAGCAGUGGGGAACAGUGCACAAUGGGCGGAAGCAGGAAGCAGCAACGCCGCGUGGGGGAUGACGGCCUUCGGGGUGUAACCCGCGUGCGACUGGGACGAAGAGUGAGUGACGGUAACGGGUAAAGAAGCAACGGCUAACUACGUG